Long non-coding RNA from Nerophis lumbriciformis (worm pipefish), 532 nucleotides. RefSeq lists it as uncharacterized. The record is from RefSeq and is a predicted model, not a curated record. Lineage: Eukaryota; Metazoa; Chordata; Actinopteri; Syngnathiformes; Syngnathidae.
CGCAGAGUGGAAAAAAGUUUAGUUCCUCAAAGAGAACUCAGAAUUAUGCCGAAAGUGUAAACCAAAACCAAAAGUUGUACGGACAGCCGGGAUGAGACCCUGGAUGUGACCUUGAUGAUGCGCAGACACUGCUGAUGUCAAGGCUGCCCCCUGCUCGACAAAGUGGACCAAAGAGGGGAGGGGGCACUGCUGUGACCGCCCCUCCACAGGAAAUGAAGUCCGAAGAUUUUGACCCACGAGCUGCAGAAGUGGGCCUCGACUGGUGAGAUCUGUUAGACCGGAGCCCUUGACAGCCCAAGACUCGUCGUGUUGUUGAGAUAAAACCGAAAACCAUCGCCCGCGUUCAUCAGGAGUGUCGGCACGGCAACGGAAAAGCACGUCCACAGACGGAAGCGGAUAUGGAAGCCGUCCUCACUGCGGAUCUCAAAGAUGAUGCCCUUCUUGGGUUUGCCGUCUUUGCUGCCGCCAUCCUCAAGACCAAUGGUAGAACCUUUGUUUUCUUUUGCCGCCUUUCCUGUUAGAUCUUCUGAAC